AGCAGGUAAAAGCUGACAUUGAUUCCAUUGAUGUGGUUGUAAUUGAUUUGGGGUAAAUAAUAACGCCACUAAGGGAGAGUUGGACAGUCUUUGAAAUAAAAGAAUGUAUCUGCUAAUCAUGAAUAUGCACAGGGAUAUGCAAUCUAUGUUAGAAUGAAUUUUUUAAGGAAGAGUAUAGCACUGCCAUACUCUGACAGAGGCCAAAGCAGGUUUUCGAAUUGCAGAAUUUUCAUUGAAGGUAUUCCAAUUGCAGAAUUUUAAAGGUCAAAUAAAACAUCAUCUUCCCCGCCAUGAAGCUCUUUACCUCUGCAAUUCAAUGGCUGCU
Molecule: long non-coding RNA, 325 nt
Organism: Ipomoea triloba (trilobed morning glory)
Lineage: Eukaryota; Viridiplantae; Streptophyta; Magnoliopsida; Solanales; Convolvulaceae
Exons: 3
Source: RefSeq, a predicted model, not a curated record